AUACCGAAGAAGUUAUCCAUGGAAUCACCGACCGUCUCUAAAAUAAGUGACAAAGAGUUUGAUGGUUGAUACCUGAGGUCCCAAGUUCGAAUCCUAAUUAAUUCAUAUUUUUAACUAAGUUUAUUUUUAAAUAAAAUAAACGAAACGGAUAGUGUGCUAUCUAUCUCUUAGAAGGAAAAAAAAGAAAAAGAAAAAAAAAACUUAUUCAUGGAAUCGG
Molecule: long non-coding RNA, 217 nt
Filed under: Ananas comosus (pineapple)
Lineage: Eukaryota; Viridiplantae; Streptophyta; Magnoliopsida; Poales; Bromeliaceae
Description: long non-coding RNA (ACOM_LNC006228)
Source: RNAcentral